CUUUGUUCUGGCAGCCUUAGCAAACUAGUACUGUCUCUGGUGCUCUAGUUUCAGACACCAUCUUAGCCUGGAGGAGGAGCUGUGAUUGGACACGGGGCCUUUCCAGAUCUGUUCCCGUCACACCCAGAGCACAGCCUGGUUUGGCAGAGACUCAACCAGCCCCGGGCCUAGGACGUCUCUCGCUCGUGCACCAUUUUGUUUCUUUCUUCAGGGUGUCAUUCAAGUCCUUCUGCUCAGGAAUGAGUCUCACGACAGACAACGUGUUGGGGAUGCUCCAGACUCGCCCAGAUGCCUUCGUUUCGGGGCGCUGUGGGAUGUGCUGAGAAGAAAGCCUGGAGGAGAGCCUUCGUGUCUGACAAAUUCACUCUUUCACUGAAAAAUUAGUGAGCACGAUCACCGUAUGGGACGUGUAGCAGUCGAGGAGACAGUCCCUGCCUUCAUGCAGCUGCAAGUCUGGGUGGGCAGGGGACGCACUGAGCAAGCGCCAUUGGAGUAUUGAGUGUUUUGGAAGGGGCAGUAGGGGGCGCUGUGGGAGCACACGCGCAGAAAGAACCAACUGGAUCUGAAGGCCCCGGUGAGGACGUGGAGAGCGGAAGGAUGAAGAGGAGUGGGCGGGAGAGAGUUCCAGGCAAAGAGAACCAUGAUGUAAAAGCCUGGUGAGCCUGGACUGUGGGGUGACGGGGACAGAAGCAGGGGCUGAGGCAGCAAGUAGAAGCCUGCUGGGAAGAGCUUUCUAGAAGAGGGUAAGGAUUUUAGACUCUUCCCAAAGGACAGUGGGAAACUACAGAAGGAUUUAAGCCGGCUGAUGACUACCUGGUCACCCCGAUGGUUGGGCGGAUGAUGAAUUAACUGUCGAGCAGGACUUGGAAGGCCGCUGUCGUGGUAACUCAGAUACCCAAUUGAUAGCAAGCUUGGCCAUAGGACUCGCUUUAGCCAAUGAAACGUGAAGACGAGUGAUGCGCAUCUCUUCUGAGCCGAAGCUUCAAGAGCCGGCUCGUGGCCGCCACGUCUCUUCUCCCUUCGCCAGAGACCGGCAGUGUUUCGGAGGCUGCCCCAUGAGCGAAGAGCCUGGGUCCAUGAAAGAAGACGUGGAGCAGAGCCCAGCCUGCCCACGUCGGCCACGGGGCAAAGUUCCUUGAAUCUGUUCUAUCGUGUCACCUCUGAAUCUUUGCACGUGCAAUCCAUUUUACUCAGAAGAAAACGCUUCGUCACCGCCUCCUUUUUUCCGCUUAAUGGUAAAAUUCAGGCUCUAUAGUAGUCCACGAAGAGAGCGCUUUGCAGCCUUGCUGACGCUGCAUGGACUGCCCCUGCCAGGACCCGCCAGUUCCAAAGACAGACCCUUGUGAUGACGCUGGGCCAGCAGAAUGAUCCAGAAUAAUCUCCCCGUCUCAAGAUCCUUAACUUCACCACAUCUGCAAUGUCCCUGUUGCCAGACGCUCCAGGGCACCGUACAGUGUGGUUGAAAGCGUGACCUGGCUGAAGUCAAACCCCGGCUCUGACAUUUACCAGGUGUGCAAAGUAUUGAGCAAAGCAUUUCUCUGUCCCUCAGUUUCUUCAUCCGUAUAGCAGGUUAAUAAGAGUACCCGUCCCCUAGGCUUGCUGUGAAGACGAAAUGAAGUGAUAUGUGUAAAAUGCUAAGCACACGCCUAGCAUGCAGUACUUGCUCAGCAAAAUGAGUGAGGUCUAAGUGUUGUUUCCAGGAAGGUCUGGACUAAUCAUGGAGAUAAGUUCAAGCAUCUGCUUAAUAAACUGAGAGCCCACUUGAUCCUGAUUCUACGUUUCUGGCACAGAGUCUGAGAGAAUAGCAACAAAUAUAACAGAACUCUCUUCCUGUUUGAAAGUCAGCUGUGCCAUCUCGAGUGCGUUACUUCAUGUCUCUGAGGUUUCAGAGUCUUCAGCUGUGAAAUAGGCUAACCCAGCAGUUACCCCCGGAAUUGUGGCAAAGAUGAAGUGCCACCAAGCAUGUAAAGGAGGCACUAGACAGCGGGAGCAGGAAUGACCAUCGCUCUUGUUAAGAACAAGCGAAAAGUGAGCGCAAGGAGAGAGCAAGAGAAGAACUCAACGUGCUUGGGGACAAGGUGCCACACCUUGUCAUUCCGCAUCCAGAGUAGACAGUCCUUCUGCCAGGGAGCCCCUUCUUUUUUUUCUGUGUCUGGCUCUUUUUCUCUGUCAAGACUCGGAACUGGUGGCCUCUCCUCCAGGCAGCCUUCCCUGAUAACUUUCCAGUAGGCAGAAAGGCUGAGGGGAUGCUGAGGGUCCCCUUGGAGCACUCAUCUCCAUGGAACAGGAACUGAGAAUGGUCUAAGAACUGAUAACCACAGAGGGGCGGGGACGGGGGCCCUAACCCCACGGUUCCCAAAAGACACGUGUCCUGGGGACCUUAAUCCUGGUUCCCCCAGGAUCUGGAGCGGUGGUUCUCAACGUGUGGGCUGGGGACCCUCUCAGUACUAUUUCUAUAAUAAUAUUAGGACUUCUCUGCACCUUUCACUGUCAUUCUUCCAUGAGCACUCAGUGAUGAUGUCCUUGCUCUGCCGGCUAAUGGAAUGUGUGCGUAGGUAUUCUUGUGUGUAUGUGUUUUAAUAAAAGCUUUAUUAAGAUAUAAUUCACAUUUGCCCGUUUAAAGUGUGCUAUCCAAUGAUUGUUAGCAUAUCCACAGAGUUGUGUAACUAUUACCACAAUCAGUUUUUGAAAAUUUUUAUCACCCCAAAAAGAAAUCCCACGCUCAUUGACAAUUAUUCCCUGUUCCGCACCCAAUAGCCCCAUGGCAGCAACUAAUCUACUUUCUUCUCUGUAGAUUUGCUUAUUCUGGACGUUUCAUAUAACAUGGAAUUAUUCAAUAUGUGGUCUUUUGUGACUGACUUCUUUCACUUAGCAGAAUGUUUUCAAGGUUCAUCCACAUCAUAGCAUGUAUCCAUACUCCAUUCUUUUUUGUUGCCAAGUAAUAUUCCAUUGCCUGGACAUACCACAUUGUAUUUAUCCAUUCAUUGGUUGAGGGACUUUUGGGUUGUUUCCACUUUUUGGCUAUUACAAAGAAUGCUGCUUAUGAACAUUUGUGUACAAGCUUUUGUGUGGUUGUAGGUUUUUGCUUCUCUUGAGUAUAUACCUAUGAAUGGAAUUGCUGGGUCACAUGGUAACUCUAUAAUCAACUUUUUGAGGAACUACCUGACUGUUUUCCAAAGUGGCUGCACCAUUUUACAUUGCUGCUAGCUGUGUAUGAGGGUUGCCGUUUCCCACAUCCUCGCCAAUAAUUAUUAUCUAUCUUUUAUUUUUAUUUAUUUAUUUUUUUGAGGAAGACUGGCCCUGAGCUAACAUCUGUGCCCAUCUUCCUCUUCUUUAUGUGUGGGACACCUACCACAACAUGGCUUGAUAAGCGGUGUGUAGGUCUGUGCCCGGGAUCUGAACCAGUGAACCCUGGGAGGCUGAAGUGGAGUGCCUGAACUCAACCGGUAUGCCACCAGGCUGUCCCCAACUAUCGUUUUGAUUAUAGCCAUCUUAGUGGGUGUGAAGUGGUAUCUCGCCGUGGUUUUGAUUUGCAUUUCCCUGAUGGCUAAUGAUGUUGAGUAUUCUUGUGUUUUAAACAUUUCUCGGUUUGAAUUUCUGAUACAGUAAAUAUUGACAGAUAGAACUCACAUAUGGAAAAGCUCAUUGGGGUCCUCAAUAAUUUUUAAGAGUGUAAACACAGUCUAAUACCAAAACGUUGGAGCACCACAGGACCGGGUUUGGGGCAGAAUUUACACAUCAUUUAGUUCCUGACUGUGGCGUAUGUCAGCUAUUGCCUCGGUAACUCGGGUUAACAGUCUACCCACAAACUCGGCGGCUUCAGCAGACAUUUAGCCUCAUGAUCGCCGGGCUGAGGUCCCCCCUGCGGUGUGACUGAUCUGGAGUGGGCUCCACUGGGUGGCUCUACGUCAGGCCCCGUGUUGGCUGGACUUGGUUCCAGGCUGUGGAUUGGUUUGAGGUUUGUUCCGUAUGCGUUCACGCUGGGGCCCAGGUGGAAGAGGAGGUGCUUUUACGCGGACACGCUUUUCUCAAGAGCAUCGCUGGGGUGAGAGUCAAGCCAGCUGCUUUGUGCACCGUGGCGUCUGCUAACAUUCCAUUGGCCAAAGCCAGUCAUGAGGCCACGCCCACCAGCAAAUGGGCGGAGACAGUAAACCCCGCCCACUACAGAAGUGGGAGGGGCCAAUGCUUGAUGAACAUAAUCCAAACCCCGGAGGGAGGGGCUCCGUGCUCCAGUGUAUGUGAGGGGGCUGGUUCCGUUUUCCACAGUGCGGAGCUGACUGUAUCCCUCGCGGUGUGUCGCCCCCCGGGCCACCUCCUUGCGCCUGGCCCCUGUCCCUGUGAACCACAUUCCUAGAGCGGGCUGGCUGAACCCCGAAGAUGACCUGCUGCCACACUUGUACGUUGGGAACCUGCGGGCCCACGCUCUGAUUUUAAAAACGUCACUUACUUGCCACAUACCUAAAUUGGCGGUUUUCACAUAAAAUGCACAUUUCUGGCUUGUCAUGAAAAAAUCCUAAUACGUGAUAACACUGGGCCCACAUUCCCCCUCGGUGACCCUUGAUUGGGCUGCUUAGCGAUCCCCAGCCUGACCUUUCAGUUCAUCCCAGGUCCCAUCCCUCCUCCUUGCCCUUCACCUGUCUUUCUUCGCUCAUUUGCCUUUUCUCUCUGUCUUCUGUAGGCGUAUAAUUUUUUUUUAUUUUUAAAAAAUUGUUGUAAAAUACUCAUUAAUUAAAAAUUGACCCAUGACCUACUUAACCAUUGUAAAGCAUACAGCUCAGUGGCGUUAAGCAGAUUGACAGUGUUGUGUAACCACCACCACUAUCCGGUUCUGGAACUUGUUCUUCAGUCCAAAUGGAAGGCUGGUACCCAUGAAAGAGUCUCCCCGACCUUCUCUCCUCCCAGCCCCUGGCUGCACCCACCUGCCUUCUGUCCCUGUGGAUUACGAAUACGAGUUUUUAAUCACCGCUCUAGAG
Molecule: long non-coding RNA, 4973 nt
Filed under: Equus asinus (donkey)
Lineage: Eukaryota; Metazoa; Chordata; Mammalia; Perissodactyla; Equidae
Description: lncRNA (ENSEASG00005029586.1)
Source: RNAcentral